GCUGAUAUGGUCAGUUGGUAGAGCGCACCCUUGGUAAGGGUGAGGUCCCCAGUUCGGACUCUGGGUAUCAGCA
RNAcentral lists this transfer RNA (73 nucleotides) under Klebsiella pneumoniae. Its description in RNAcentral is "tRNA-Thr". It matches the Rfam family "tRNA". Rfam says of the family: Transfer RNA (tRNA) molecules are approximately 80 nucleotides in length. The record is from RNAcentral. Lineage: Bacteria; Pseudomonadati; Pseudomonadota; Gammaproteobacteria; Enterobacterales; Enterobacteriaceae.